AUUUCAGGUGUUUGGAAGAACUUUACUGGAUGCAAGCAUAGAGAAGCGUAGUAUAGGGUAUUGUGGGACAUGCUGGUUGGGAUGUCCAACGGGACAGCACAUCCGUGCAUGUACAGAGGAUGAUUUUAAGCACAACCGUGUGAUUUGUAAAUGCGUACCUAUAUCAGAAAGUAAAAGAGACAUCCUAAUGAACGAGGAAUAGGUAUGGUACUUGUUGGACGAUUCUGAUAUGACGGUGUUAAUUUUUUGUGACAUUAUCAUAUGUGGAUUCUUUUUAACCAACCAACAUACAAAAUGAAAUGUUCGUCAGUUUCAAAUAAAACCUAGAUGUUUUA
Molecule: long non-coding RNA, 335 nt
Organism: Mytilus californianus (California mussel)
Lineage: Eukaryota; Metazoa; Mollusca; Bivalvia; Mytilida; Mytilidae
Exons: 5
Source: RefSeq, a predicted model, not a curated record